UACGGAGGGUGCAAGCGUUAUCCGGAUUUACUGGGUUUAAAGGGUGCGUAGGUGGGCAGGUAAGUCAGUGGUGAAAUCUCCGGGCUUAACCCGGAAACUGCCAUUGAUACUAUCUGUCUUGAAUAUCCUGGAGGUAAGCGGAAUAUGUCAUGUAGCGGUGAAAUGCUUAGAUAUGACAUAGAACACCAAUUGCGAAGGCAGCUCGCUACGGGAUUAUUGACACUGAGGCACGAAAGCAUGGGGAGCGAACAGG
RNAcentral lists this ribosomal RNA (253 nucleotides) under uncultured bacterium. RNAcentral's name for it is "partial 16S ribosomal RNA". It matches the Rfam family "Bacterial small subunit ribosomal RNA", at positions 524 to 776 of the family's 1533-position model. The record is from RNAcentral.